ACAGGAACAGGAUACACAUGACGGGAGCAAGCGAAUCCGACGGAUACAGACAGUGGCGGAGUUAGAACAAAUUUGAGAGGGUGCAUUAUGUCUGUGGGUGCAUAUGAUUUUAUUGCAGGGGUGCAUAUAUGGUGAAAAUUUGAUCAUAAUCACUGUUUUUUCAUAUUUUCGUGGAUACGGCCGCACCCAAUGCCAACUACAUAGCUCCGCCCCUGGAUACAGAGUCCGUUGCGCGCAGCACAGGGGAACUUCUCAUGUGUUCACUUGAGCUUACUUAGCGAAUCUAGCAACCAUCUAGCUGUGUUUUUCUCUUACAAUAAAUCAACAAAUAAUACUUGAUUUUUCAGCCAAAUGAAAUGGGUGUCGUCUUGAACGCAUGCCUCCACCCAAUCGUCAUUAACAUAGUCCAUAUGACAACUACGUACUGUAGAUUAGUAGUAGAAAGCGAAAAAGGAGCAAAGCUUGGCAUGAUAUGAUGCCGUCUCUCUCGAGCCACGCAAGGAUGGAACUGUGAGCAUGAACAACUCUACGUACGGUCCCCUCUUCUGGCCAAUAUAUAUGGCACGGAAAACCCUACUAUCCAUUGCUGCUACAAGCAACCUAUAGUAGGAGUAUAGAAGCUGGAGUAGUUGUACAUGCAGAUCCGGAGGGAGGGACGAGCCAAACAAAAUCAAGCGGCCGGGAAUUAAGGGAAAGGACGUCGUUAACCUCUGUGGUGCAGUGCAGACAUCAUCGUCCUGACUGGACCACCUGCCUCUGGCUGACAUGAGAUGUGAUUCCCCCCUCCCAUCAAAAAAAAAAAACAAGAAGAUUAAUUGACAGAUGAUUAGCACAUGCGUUGAGCAUGGGACUAGGAGUAGUUUACAAUUGCAUGCUGGGUCUAAAAUCUAAACCUAAUCAAAGGUACUACUGGAGUGUACACGUACUCUAGCUAGCUAGCUAGCAGGCAGGCAGGCAGGCAGGCAUAUGCGCGUGUGAACUGUGAUGAUGAUGUAGUAGCUGCAAGUCUCGAGGCAGGCAACGGAUGCGUGCCCGCGCCUCCACUUGCAUUGCAUUGCUGUGAGUGUGACCUCGCCUACGCAAGCGGAUUGGUUUGGUCAGGCAAGUUGGCUCAAAUGGUCAUUGGAGACGAACAAUUGGAAGUGUGCAUGCCACAGCCCACUGGACCCUAAAUUAUUUGGACACCUUGCCGGCCGGGCUCGCAAGUGAUUCCUUCUUAUCUAGUACUCCUACGCCGUUGAUGCUUGUUUUACUCUCUGCCGACCCAUCAAUCGUUUCAUUCAUUCAUUCAUCUGUGCAGAGUACUACAUACCCACCGGCCACCGUACGUAACCUAUCUCAUAUCCCCUCUCGUACCUGGAAGAUGCAUGCUUCUCACGAUCGAGGACGAGGAGGCACAGAGGCCAGAGGUCGUUACGGAACGUGUUCGUACCCAGUCCCACCCCUAGGGGCCGCACAAGUCUGCAGAUCGACUUUCUCUCGCGGUCCGGGGCGGCGCAGCGCAUCAGGUCGAUCGAUCUGAUUGAGUAGAAGAACCACUGCACGUACGCACGAGAGGGCGGUAUCUCGAGAGAUCGAGACAGUGAGUCGACUGAGACGAUCAUCCACAUGGCGGCGGCGUUACGAUUACGACAGCUGCUAGCUGCUAGCUGCGGCUCCCGCGCCCCAGCAGCAUGCUGCUGCCUCUGCUCCUCCUGCAGCCCUCACCGCCGGCUCCCGGCGGACCUUGCUCACCGGUGGCGGCAUCGACUGGGCGGCAUAGCAGCCGCCGCCGACGCUGCCCCCGCUCGUCACCAGCAGGUGCCUCUAUCGCCGAUCUAUGGGAUGUACCACUAUCGUCAUUCGUCAAGAUAAGUUUAGUACACGUACGAGUAUUUAUUUGUAGUAUAUAAUAGGGCUCUCUUUGCCACCUACACAAUUACUUUAAUUUAAGUGCACAGCAUCUCCAAUAAUUCCCAAGAUAUUAUAGUUGGUAAACUAUUUCUAAAAAUUAUCCCAACCAACAUUUAUAAUUUAUUUCUCUCUUAUACAUUUGGAUCAUGAACUCUGCAUUACUAUUUAUUCUUUCCUCAUUCUUGCACCUCCAUGUUAGCACCUCCAUACGUGUGCACAUAUUUUCACACUAUUGGAUCAAUUUUUUUUUUAAUUGCACGGAGAUGGAGAGUUAUAGGAAGUUGUUGGAGAGCAAUUUUCUUUCAAUCUUACUAGAAAAUCUAGAGUGGAAGUGGGUUUUGAAAACUCUUAGAGAUAUGCAACUUGAAACAUUUUAGCGCGUAAAUAUAUUACUAUUCUUUUGUAUAGAAUAUAAAAGUAGUCAAAUUUUAGAGAGUUUGAUUUAGCGUAGA
Molecule: long non-coding RNA, 2345 nt
Filed under: Sorghum bicolor (sorghum)
Lineage: Eukaryota; Viridiplantae; Streptophyta; Magnoliopsida; Poales; Poaceae
Description: long non-coding RNA (SBIC_LNC001774)
Source: RNAcentral